AGUCGAGCGGAGUUGAUAAGAAGCUUGCUUCUUUGAUACUUAGCGGCGGACGGGUGAGUAACACGUAGGCAACCUGCCCUCAAGUUUGGGACAACUACCGGAAACGGUAGCUAAUACCGAAUAAUUGUUUUCUUCGCCUGAAGGAAACUGGAAAGACGGAGCAAUCUGUCACUUGGGGAUGGGCCUGCGGCGCAUUAGCUAGUUGGUGGGGUAACGGCUCACCAAGGCGACGAUGCGUAGCCGACCUGAGAGGGUGAUCGGCCACACUGGGACUGAGACACGGCCCAGACUCCUACGGGAGGCAGCAGU
RNAcentral lists this ribosomal RNA (309 nucleotides) under Paenibacillus sp. P8E. RNAcentral's name for it is "bacterial SSU rRNA". It matches the Rfam family "Bacterial small subunit ribosomal RNA", at positions 60 to 355 of the family's 1533-position model. The record is from RNAcentral. Lineage: Bacteria; Bacillati; Bacillota; Bacilli; Caryophanales; Paenibacillaceae.